RNAcentral lists this ribosomal RNA (637 nucleotides) under uncultured bacterium. Its description in RNAcentral is "bacterial SSU rRNA". It matches the Rfam family "Bacterial small subunit ribosomal RNA", at positions 171 to 802 of the family's 1533-position model. The record is from RNAcentral.
CGUGGUACACUUGUGGGGCAUCCCACGGGUGUUAAAAGGAAGUGAUUCCGGCGGAGGAUGGGCAUGCGGCGCAUUAGCUGGUUGGCGGGGUAACGGCCCACCAAGGCGACGAUGCGUAGGGGUUCUGAGAGGAAGGUCCCCCACACUGGUACUGAGACACGGACCAGACUCCUACGGGAGGCAGCAGUGAGGAAUAUUGGUCAAUGGGCGGGAGCCUGAACCAGCCAAGUCGCGUGAGGGAAGACGGUCCUAUGGAUUGUAAACCUCUUUAGGCGGGGAGCAAUGCCGGGCACGCGUGCCCGGAGGGAGAGUACCCGCAGAAUAAGCAUCGGCUAACUCCGUGCCAGCAGCCGCGGUAAUACGGAGGAUGCGAGCGUUAUCCGGAUUUAUUGGGUUUAAAGGGUGCGUAGGCGGAUUUUUAAGUCAGCGGUAAAAUGUCCGGGCUCAACCCGGGCCGGCCGUUGAAACUGGGGAUCUUGAGUGGGCGAGAAGUAUGCGGAAUGCGUGGUGUAGCGGUGAAAUGCAUAGAUAUCACGCAGAACUCCGAUUGCGAAGGCAGCAUACCGGCGCCCGACUGACGCUGAGGCACGAAAGCGUGGGGAUCGAACAGGAUUAGAUACCCUGGUAGUCCACGCAG